Molecule: long non-coding RNA, 369 nt
Organism: Glossina fuscipes
Lineage: Eukaryota; Metazoa; Arthropoda; Insecta; Diptera; Glossinidae
Exons: 2
Source: RefSeq, a predicted model, not a curated record
AAAAAAAAAAAAAAAAAAAAAAGAAAAAGUUGAAAAAAAAAUUAAGAAAGUAAGACCAAGAGAAAAAUAAAUCUUGUCAUUGUUAUCCAUAAUUGAAACGUUUUGAAUUUAUGUACUUCACUUCCCAAACAACCCGAGUGCUGCCUCGAUAACAACCGUGAUUACAUCAAGGAACGACAAAAGCAUAAACACACCUAAAAUCCGAUUUGUGUUAUUUGUGUUAGCUCGGGCAAACGCCGGAGCUGGCGAGAUCGCUUCAUAAGAAAUUUAUAUAUAUAUGUACAUGCACAUAUGUAUUUCUUGCAUAUAUGAGAACUCGCUACGAAUAGCUGCAAUCGUAAAUUAUAUAAAGACGUGUAUUUCUUAUAU